ACUUUUGUCUCUCCUGCAUUCAUCUGCCAAAUAAAUUUGGAAUCUAGUUCCAGUUACAAUUGAAUUUGAUCUUACCAAAAUUCUGAAUGCUCCUUAGAAUUUUAUUACAAAUUUUGGGACUUCCUGUGUUGAAUUUAUAAUGAUUAUAAUCAAUCAAACAUUUGCCACCAUGCAUGGUUUUGGAUCUAUUACUCCAUUUGAAAUGGAAUGACAAAAUUUUUGAAAUCUCAUUAGCAUUUAAAACCUUACGAGGUUUGUAUAGAAUGUUGCUCCGAGUAUGAUGUAGGUGGUAAUUUACUUUUGAGAGGCCUCCUACGGGGAUAUUCCUGUUAAAUUAGGUUCUGAGAAUACAUGACAGUGAGACCGCAGAAGCUGGUGGAGCGGCUGAGAUCCCGUGGGGGAAGAUACAUUGCUCUUCAUCUGAGAUAUGAGAAAGACAUGUUAUCUUCAACUAGCUGUACUCAUGGUCUUACUGAUGCAGAAUCUGAAGAGCUAAGAAUAAUGAGGCUAUAUGUUGACAAGUGGCAAAACUUCCUGUCUCUGCAUUGGAUGUAAUGUACCUCCACUAGAAGAUGAAGAAGAUAAAUUCAACAGAACAGAGAAAAUGAGGCUUUUGUACAUUAACCCCCGAAGAGGCUCGACGCAUGUUGGCAAAACUAGAUAUUUACAGGAAGUUUACUAAUGCUUUGGCAGUCGCUGUUAUUGUGUCCGUAGGCUGGAUAUGCUAUGAGCUGUACUUACUCGGGAGAAGCAAGUGAAGAGUUUGACAGGGAUGAUCAUCAUGAUGGAUAUGAAGUUGCUACAUGUAGAAUUUACGUGAGAGGAGAGGGAAAAAGCCAUUGGAGGGAAUAUGAUGAAGCUUUUUUUAUUUAUUCUUGUUCUUUUACUUUUUUCCCCCUCUAAUUCUUUUUAUCUUGUUUAAUUGGAUUAUAGUGCACUGUAUGAUUCCAAAUGUAUCAUCUGUUGCACAUAGUUUAGGCUCAUCUUUGGAUAUAGUUGGAAGACAAGUGAUAUUUUUAAUAUUAUAAACCAUAUUAGUGUGC
Molecule: non-coding RNA, 1043 nt
Organism: Camellia sinensis
Lineage: Eukaryota; Viridiplantae; Streptophyta; Magnoliopsida; Ericales; Theaceae
Source: RefSeq, a predicted model, not a curated record